RNAcentral lists this long non-coding RNA (5166 nucleotides) under Nicotiana tabacum (common tobacco). RNAcentral's name for it is "long non-coding RNA (NTAB_LNC001552)". The record is from RNAcentral. Lineage: Eukaryota; Viridiplantae; Streptophyta; Magnoliopsida; Solanales; Solanaceae.
AUUAAUUCCAAUCACUAGUAAUAUAACAAUUUUUCCAUUCCACAGUUACAUCCCUACGGCACUCCAUACCCUAAAAUUUUCAUAACAUAUCAUAUUGAAUUUAACAUAAAAUAUAAAGGAUUAAACAAGAAAAUUAUUUAUUAAACAAUUAAACAAAUAAAAUAUAGUUACUCCAAAAUUACAUUAUCCAAUGUAUUUUUAUUUCAAAGAGUAAAUCAAUACAACAAUAUCCAAGAGAUUCAUACCUAAUCCUAAACAUAAUUACUAAUUUUUACAUGCUUAAUCGGUAUUGUUACUUGUCUAUAGAUAUUUUUGACCCAAUUGAUGACGGAGUGCCACUUCAUAAAUUUGAUGCCUGCUAAACAAAACCAAAAAAAAGAGACAGUAAUACAGGGAAAACCACAAUAACUAAAAAAUUGACAUCAACAAGAAUAGGAACAUAAAAGUCAAAUAGCUUCACUGACAGUAAUUUAUUUAUUCAACUGCAUUCCAGAAAACUAACUUCAGAAAGUCAAUGAUAAACAUAUAGUCCACCUCAUGAUCUACCAAAAAUAGAAUGACAGUUUCUGAAAGAGAGAGAGGCACCUUUCCUGUUGUGACUUCCACACCUCCUUUUAGGGGAUAAGGGAGUUUUUUCAAUUAAAGUAACAUUAUUAAAAAUGUGAUUAUUUAUUUAUUCAGAGUCGCUACUUGGAAUAAUUUAUGGUAUCCCAAGUCACCGGUUUAUUUUCAAAUUCCAAAUCGAGAAAAUUGACACUUAUUUAUGGUUUGUGAACAUAGAAGACUAGGUAAGGAUUUCUAUUAACCCGGGAUAAGGUGUUAGGCAUUUCCGGAUUUCGUAGUUUUAGCACGAUCGCUUAAUAAUUAACACUUGGCCUAAUUAUCUGAUUUAUUACCUGUUUUAAAUCUAUUGUGCAUUUUAUCUUUGACCGCUUUUGAUAUUCAAUUAACCGCUUUUAGUAUUUAUGAAUUUUAUUUUAAUAAGUCGCAAUGUCGCACAAUUAUUGUUUUUGUACACAUUGCUAAUCGCGUCACGUGAAAUGCACCCAUGAUUUGUAACAUGUUUAUUUGAUUAUUAUUUAAUUUGAAGUUGUAAGGUCGAGUCGCAUAAAAUGCGCACUUGACUUGGGGUUACGUAUCAUGAAUAUGCCACAGGAACCGUACCCAUAGUUACAAUGAUUUAUUUAUGAAUCGCGCCUAAAGCAAGCUACGACGUUCAUGAUUUAUUAUUUCCUAAUAUUGCUUUGAGAUGUAUUGCAAGGUCAUAUGAAUUAUGGAGAAAAAUCGUGGAUAGAAUGUAUAAAGAUUGAGAUAAAUCUAAGGUCAAUUGACAUGAGUAUCAAUUGGUUCAAACGUCAAUUAAUUAGUCCACUUGAGACUCAUAAACUUGGGAGGCGGCUAUUUGAAGAAUCUUGACAAGUUUAACUUAAUACUUCUGGAAAUUCUUAUUAGCAUACAUGCCUCUUCUCUUUUACAUUGUAGUUAGAUUUGCUCAACAAUUCCAAGACACAAGGCUAUGGGCUGGAGUUGGCUAGGUGAGGAUGAGAAUGGUCCUUUAACAGAUUGAAUAUAAAUAUAAUUGGGCUUUGACGUCGAGCCCACAACGCCACACAACAACAAAAUUUUCUCAUCACAUAUUACUGCCAAAACUUCUUAUCUAAACACAAGCUUGUAAUUGUAUUUUUAAUCAGAUUCAUAUUUAACUAUCAUGACAUACAAAUCAGUAAUAACAGUCAAUGAAACAUUAACAAAGAAAAUACCAAUCAGUUCUAACUCAUCACUUGAUACAAAUAUGAGGUGAGGUGUUUAAGAAUAACAUGUAUGAGAUGAGAUGCUUAAGGAUUUAUUAAUCAAAACAGGAAAUACUAUUACUGGAGAAUUCGUAUAUGAUAGUAGGCAAACCAACGAACAAACAAUCUAAGCUAAUAAUGAGACAUUUAGGCAAACAACUUUCAUUCAUUAAUUCAAAAAAAUAAUAAUUACAGAUUACUCAACGUACCUAAACUGAAGAUAGCAGCAACAGUACCAAAUAAGGCUGAAAUGAAGAUGAAGCUCAGCUACUCAACAAUCUACAACAGCAGCAACAAACAACCCCUUAAGAACUCGAUUUGACCUUGAAAACACAACUAGAUUUGUCCAGCAAAUUGGCAGAGUGAUAUUUUUUUAAAAUCCUUGGUUCUUCAACUCUUUUUCUUUGUUUGUGAAGCUCGUUUGAGGAGGCAGGCGGAAAUGGGUAGCUGCUCGAGGGAGAAGGAGUCUGUUUGGAGAUGAUGGAGAGAAAAGAAGAAGAAGAAGCUUAGCAUUUUCUUUUCAAGGGGAAGGUCUGUCCCGUUCUCUCUUGAGAGCAUCAGGUGGCGGCUAGGUUUUUAGUUUAAGGGGAAGUAUCAUCCGUUUUUUUUCUAGAUGAUUUUAGGGAGAUAGGUUAUUUUAAUAAGCGAAGAGAGGGAUGAUGGGCCAGGCGGGUCGGAUAAAUGGGAAUGGGCUGGGCGAAAUUGGAGCAAGAUUUGGGUCGCUGAUCACUGGCCCAGUUUAAAAAUAAAGUAAAUAGCCUCUUUUUUUCAUAGUCUAAAAUUUUCUAAAUUGACCAAUCUAAUUCUAAUUAAAGCUAACUUUGCAAAAUAAACCUAAUUAUCUAUUUUCUAAUAAUUAACUAAUUAUUUAACUAAUAAUGCAUGUAAAGUGCCUAAUGUAUUUUUGGUAUUUUAAUAUUUUACAAAUGCAAUUAAUUAUGCAAAUAAAAUCUAAAAAUAUAAAGAUUAAAAUAUUUUUGUUAUUUUUUAAGAUUUAAAAUGCACCAAACACAAAUACGCACAAAACAAAUCAAUUAAAAUAUAGAAAAAUUCCUAAAACUCUAUAAAAUAAUUAAAAGCUAUUUUUUGAGAUUUUUUUAGGAGUAAUUUCAUAUAUUUGGCAAAACUUAUGUGCUCACACUGACUAUAAUAUACUGCUUGAUCUUUCCCCUCACCCACCCCCUCUCUCUGCCACCCACCCAUGAUCGUACCAUGCAAGAAAGGGAGGAAGAGGAACAUAAUGGUUCAGCUCCUUUAUCAAGUAUAUGCCAUGCAACUUCUAAAAGUAUACCUGAUCAGUUAACCCAUACACUAUCAGAUCCUUCAAUAUUAGUUUUUCUUAACAGACAUACAAAUAACUAGUAGCGUCAAGAGUGUAUAUAUUUCAAGCCCCAACAGAAAAGCAAACAAGAAAAGAUGAGUAUUAUACCUGUGGAGGAGUAGGAAAUAAGCCAGCUAACUACUCGGGGAUAUCUCCUAAGACCAAGUCGUAUAGAACUUUGCUCGAACACUAGAGUCAAAACUGCACCCAAGUCUAACCUCGAACAUGACCGACGUAUUUUGUAUCCUUCAUAUUUCUCCUAAACGAAAGAUAAAAGAAUACUUAAAUCUUAUACAAAUAGUCUAUUAUUAUAUGAUAAAUAUCACAACUAAAAAAUUCAAGCAAUCAACCUACUAUUUAGCACAAUUUCUCUAGCCUCUUCAUUCAUAUAACUCUCAUCUAGCCGCUUAUGAGUUCCAAUCCAAUAUUCGCCUCGAUCAAUAUCUUUUUCCGGUGUCUAACUUCUGAAAUUUUCAAGAUGUAAAACAUUAGUACCUAAUUAAGGAUGUAUUUUAUCUUUAGAAUUGAUCGUUAAGCACAUCGUAUUACACUACCAUAUUAGUCCUUCUAGCCAAACUCAUAACACCACCAGACGACGAAUAGCUUGUUUUCAUCGAACCAAUUGAGUCCUCUUGCAAAGCUCCUGGUCCUGCAAGUUCAAAUAGGUGAAUUUCUUUAACAUAAGAGCAAAAUAUUUAUAAAUAUCUAAAGAAUGUACAUUUAGUAAGUACCUUUGUGGAAUAUUUCAAGUGAUAAUUAACAUACAUGCCUAUUAAUCUAUGGAAAUACCUCUGUUCUCUGUGAAUUAAAUUAGCAAUAAACUUCCUUAGGCUUGCCAAUGCCUUUCCUAUAACAGUCAGUAAUCUUCAUAUAACCUUAUCAAUAUGAACAAAGUGUUACAAAGGUUAUCAGUUACUAAAUCUGAAGUGUUUGUGCUAUCCAACUAUUUGCAAGUACCUUUACAGGUCAUGAGUUAGCUUUCAAACAGACUAUUUUAUAACUGAACUAUUUUAGCCUUCAUCAGUUUUUUGUGCUCAACAUUCAGCCUAUUGCAAAGAUGUGAAGCAAGAUUUAGCACACAAACAUCACCUUUCAUUCUGGAAUUGCAUGAUGAACAUGUGUAGAGGAAUGCAAUUGCCAAAGCACAAAGACAGGUAUCUAAAAGGAAUUAAUUUCUUCAAAAUAUCGUCAUAAAUGUACCAUCACAUAAUGAAGUUCAUUGGCCACCUAGUCAUAGAUAUUAUAUGUAGCAGAAUUAAUUUUAGAGUAAAACAUGGUCAAUACUAGACCAUGUCAUCAAAUUGCUUAAGCAGAAAAUAGCCAAGCAUACUUGCAUCAGAAACUUAAUCAUCAAACAAUUUUAAACUAACUUAAGGCAGUCACUUAGGAUUUUUAUCAAACAGUUCAUGUGCACAUCGUCAACUGUUGCUGCAAUUUACACAAUCUAUAAUCAACAAUGCUCAAAAAUGAGCAACACAGCAAAAUCCACAUGAAUCACACAUACUUAACUAAGAGACGAAAAUUCCAACAUAUGUUUCACAAACGAACAAACAAACCAACGUAAUACAUAAUACUGUUCACAAACGCAAAAAGGGAUUUUUAAGUGUCCCAUGCAUAGGAUAAUCUCUACCAUAUUAAGGAAUAUAUAACACUUACAGAUCUAGGAAAUAAGAAGAUAAGUAUUGAUGUACCUAUUUGCAAUCUGCGGCAAAUCUAUGUUUUCUCCAACCGUAAGAUGAGGUGAGGAGGAGCUUGAAACCUAGGGUUUCGCCAAAUCGUGAGAGAAGGAGAAGAGAGAGAGAGAGAGAGAGAGAGAGAGAGUCCGUCUAAUUUAUGGGAAGGGAGAGGGAAGUUAGUAAUUUGGGGGAGGGAAUUCUGAUUUGCUGAAAAAUAGUCAAAAAGCUCAUAGGAACGAAAUUUGUACCGCCGUUUUAAAAUAACUUACUGUGGCGAUUAACCGACGUAAUAUAUCGUGCAUUGUGGCGGUUAUUAGAAACCGCAUUAAUAAAAACGCCACAAUAUCUCCUUUUUUCUUGUAGCGAGGGUAUACGCUAU